UAGAAAAAUCUUUACCAAGAGCUUUGAGUCCAUUGAUGACAUCCGUGAAAUGGGUGUACAUGUCUCCGAUGGACUCACUUGGUUUCAUUCGGAAAAGUUCAUAAGAGUGCACAAGGAUGUUGAUUUUGGACUCUUUCACUCGGUUAGUGCCUUCAUGAGUGACCUCAAGAGUUCUCCAAAUAUCAAAAGCCGAAUCACAAAUUGAAA
This 207-nucleotide long non-coding RNA is filed under the name Musa acuminata (dwarf banana). RNAcentral describes it as "long non-coding RNA (MACU_LNC008289)". Lineage: Eukaryota; Viridiplantae; Streptophyta; Magnoliopsida; Zingiberales; Musaceae. The record is from RNAcentral.